GACGAACGCUGGCGGCGUGCUUAACACAUGCAAGUCGAACGGAAAGGCCCUGCUUUUGUGUGGUGCUCGAUUGGCGAACGGGUGAGUAACACGUGAGUAACCUGCCCUUGACUUUGGGAUAACUUCAGGAAACUGGGGCUAAUACCGGAUAGGAUCUCCUGCUGCAUGGUGUGGGUUGGAAAGUUUCGGCGGUUGUGUCUGGACUCGCGGCUUAUCAGCUUGUUGGUGGGGUAGUGGCUUACCAAGGCUUUGACGGGUAGCCGGCCUGAGAGGGUGACAGGCGACACAGGGACUGAGAGAAGGCACAGACACCUAAGGGAGGGAGAAGUGGGGAAUAUUGAACAAUGGGCGGAAGCCUGAUGCAGAAACGCCGCGUGCGGGAUAACGGCCUUAGGGGUGUAAAACGCUUUCGCAUGUGACGAAGCGUGAGUGAAGGUAAUGGGUAAAGAAGCACAGGCUAAAUAAGUG
This 468-nucleotide ribosomal RNA is filed under the name uncultured bacterium. RNAcentral's name for it is "partial 16S ribosomal RNA". It matches the Rfam family "Bacterial small subunit ribosomal RNA", at positions 28 to 507 of the family's 1533-position model. The record is from RNAcentral.